CUCUCACAUGGAAAAAGAAAAAAUUGACAAACACUGAAGAAAGAGAGAGUUUUGGCCUUCUCUACUUUUAUCUUUCCUUUUUACACUACCAUAUAGCUAGUCCACACCAUACUCUUCCGACCAACGUGUUUUCAUAACCAACCAUCAUCGACUCUGUUUCGUGACCGUGUCGUUCGCACUUCACGACUAACCACCUCGACUUCCGCCUUCUCCUUUCCCAUUUUGCCGCUACCGAGUGGUGAUCGGAGCCUUUCGAAAAACAGUUUUCCGCGAGCGUCACCUGUGGGUACCAUUUCACUUUCCUUUCUUCUCUUUUUUUUUGGCAUUUGAUGUGUUUGUUUUUAUUCUGCAAGUCUGUUUUAGAUUAGCAUGAAUAAGAAGUAUAUUUUCUUUUGAAGCGUUUCUGAACUUAGUUUAUUUUGAUUUCAUUUCAAAUAACAUUGGUGUUGGUUUUAAUGUAGAAAAGUUAAAGUUUUUUUUUAUAUAAGAAAUCACCACAUGGUCAAACUACACAUAUGUAGGACUCUAUCCUUAUUUCUUUCAGUCUUAGUUUGUAUGCUUUUCUUGCUUGCCUUUCAGCAUUACAUUUGAUUAUUUUAGAUAUAGUUUGAUUUUUCCUUUUAGAAGUUGUUGUUAUUUUGAGAAUGGAUAUAUCUCUAACUCUUCAUUUUGCUGCAAUGCUGGUUUGUAAACUUUAAAAUAGAUUAAAUAAAUUGGUUAUUGAAUUUAUCAAAGUUCAGCAUAUUUUUUGU
RNAcentral lists this long non-coding RNA (752 nucleotides) under Lathyrus oleraceus (garden pea). RNAcentral describes it as "Pisum sativum (pea) long non-coding RNA (PSAT_LNC036151)". The record is from RNAcentral. Lineage: Eukaryota; Viridiplantae; Streptophyta; Magnoliopsida; Fabales; Fabaceae.